AUUGAACGCUGGCGGCAGGCCUAACACAUGCAAGUCGAGCGGAUGAAGGGAGCUUGCUCCUGGAUUCAGCGGCGGACGGGUGAGUAAUGCCUAGGAAUCUGCCUGGUAGUGGGGGAUAACGUCCGGAAACGGGCGCUAAUACCGCAUACGUCCUGAGGGAGAAAGUGGGGGAUCUUCGGACCUCACGCUAUCAGAUGAGCCUAGGUCGGAUUAGCUAGUUGGUGGGGUAAAGGCCUACCAAGGCGACGAUCCGUAACUGGUCUGAGAGGAUGAUCAGUCACACUGGAACUGAGACACGGUCCAGACUCCUACGGGAGGCAGCAGUGGGGAAUAUUGGACAAUGGGCGAAAGCCUGAUCCAGCCAGGCCGCGUGUGUGAAGAAGGCCUUCGGAUUGUAAAGCACUUUAAGUUGGGAGGAAGGGCAGUAAGUUAAUACCUUGCUGUUUUGACGUUACCAACAGAAUAAGCACCGGCUAACUUCGUG
Molecule: ribosomal RNA, 484 nt
Filed under: uncultured bacterium
Lineage: Bacteria
Description: partial 16S ribosomal RNA
Rfam family: Bacterial small subunit ribosomal RNA
Source: RNAcentral